RNAcentral lists this transfer RNA (71 nucleotides) under Tuber brumale (winter truffle). Its description in RNAcentral is "tRNA-Thr". It matches the Rfam family "tRNA". From Rfam's summary of the family: Transfer RNA (tRNA) molecules are approximately 80 nucleotides in length. Their secondary structure includes four short double-helical elements and three loops (D, anti-codon, and T loops). The record is from RNAcentral. RNAcentral also lists the same sequence under 2 other names. Lineage: Eukaryota; Fungi; Ascomycota; Pezizomycetes; Pezizales; Tuberaceae.
GCCUGGUUAACAUAAAAGUAAUGUAUCCCUCUUGUAAAGGGAAUAAGUAAGUGCGAUACUUGCACUGGGCU